This 84-nucleotide microRNA precursor is filed under the name Mus musculus (house mouse). Its description in RNAcentral is "predicted gene, 55430 (ENSMUSG00002076071.1)". Lineage: Eukaryota; Metazoa; Chordata; Mammalia; Rodentia; Muridae. The record is from RNAcentral.
AUAUAUAUAUAUAUAUAUAUAUAUAUAUGUGUGUGUGUGUGUGUGUAUGUAUGUAUACACACACACACACACACACACAUAUAU